GGGCGGGUGGCGAAAUUGGUAGACGCAUCAGACUCAAAAUCUGACGAUCGUGAGAUCGUGAGAGUUCGAUUCUCUCCCUGCCCA
This 84-nucleotide transfer RNA is filed under the name Coleofasciculus sp. FACHB-125. Its description in RNAcentral is "tRNA-Leu". It matches the Rfam family "tRNA". From Rfam's summary of the family: Transfer RNA (tRNA) molecules are approximately 80 nucleotides in length. Their secondary structure includes four short double-helical elements and three loops (D, anti-codon, and T loops). RNAcentral also lists the same sequence under 18 other names. The record is from RNAcentral. Lineage: Bacteria; Bacillati; Cyanobacteriota; Cyanophyceae; Coleofasciculales; Coleofasciculaceae.